This 547-nucleotide ribosomal RNA is filed under the name uncultured bacterium. RNAcentral describes it as "partial 16S ribosomal RNA". It matches the Rfam family "Bacterial small subunit ribosomal RNA", at positions 355 to 895 of the family's 1533-position model. The record is from RNAcentral.
UGGGGAAUUUUGGACAAUGGACGAAAGCCUGAUCCAGCAAUGCCGCGUGUGUGAAGAAGGCCUUCGGGUUGUAAAGCACUUUUGUCCGGAAAGAAAUCCUUGGCUCUAAUACAGUCGGGGGAUGACGGUACCGGAAGAAUAAGCACCGGCUAACUACGUGCCAGCAGCCGCGGUAAUACGUAGGGUGCAAGCGUUAAUCGGAAUUACUGGGCGUAAAGCGUGCGCAGGCGGUUUGCUAAGACCGAUGUGAAAUCCCCGGGCUCAACCUGGGAACUGCAUUGGUGACUGGCAGGCUAGAGUAUGGCAGAGGGGGGUAGAAUUCCACGUGUAGCAGUGAAAUGCGUAGAGAUGUGGAGGAAUACCGAUGCGAAGGCAGCCCCCUGGGCCAAUACUGACGCUCAUGCACGAAAGCGUGGGGAGCAAACAGGAUUAGAUACCCUGGUAGUCCACGCCCUAAAACGAUGUCAACUAGUUGUUGGGGAUUCAUUUCCUUAGUAACGUAGCUAACGCGUGAAGUUGACCGCCUGGGGAGUACGGUCGCAAGAUU